UUCUUUCUUUGGCUGGUCGAGACGCGCACACACAUCCAUUUUAGUUUUCUUUUCAAUUGGCUUGGACAAAGAAGAUCAAAAGCAAAAUAUUUUUCAUUGUUGUAACAAGGAUUUCAUAGUAAUACUAAUUAGGGUUUCAUCAUCAUCUUCUUCAUUUUUAUCGAGAACAACAAAAAGUGGUUUUGGAUAGACGUGGAGACUAGACUGCUCAUUUUCUCGGACUACUCAUACUUUUAGCUCUUUGAUCGCUAAGGCUUGCUUGAGGAGAGACACCACUAGCCGAGGACCUCACUUUUGAUCAGACUUCUUUCACUCUCAAUUCAAGUUUAGAGCAGUAGGUUUGCUAAUGGACCGCCUCUGGAUGUUGUAAUUGUUUGAUGUUUGAAGGCUUGUAAUGCAAACAAGUAUCUUUUUAAUUCGGAUUUGGAAUUACGUAACGGUCUUAAACAAUUGAAUUUGAACUAUGUAAUCGUUUAUUUUGGGAUGAUUUUAAGACUCCAAUUAUGAUGUUUUCCAUUUAA
Erigeron canadensis is the source of this 521-nucleotide long non-coding RNA. RefSeq lists it as uncharacterized. The record is from RefSeq and is a predicted model, not a curated record. Lineage: Eukaryota; Viridiplantae; Streptophyta; Magnoliopsida; Asterales; Asteraceae. The transcript has 4 exons.